CACGGGGGGAGCAAGCGUUGUUCGGAAUCACUGGGCGUAAAGGGCUCGUAGGCGGUUUGUCGCGUCGGGAGUGAAAUCCACUGGCUUAACUGGUGGCUUGCUUUCGAUACGGGCAGACUGGAGGUAUGCAGGGGAGAACGGAAUUCCUGGUGUAGCGGUGAAAUGCGCAGAUAUCAGGAGGAACACCGGUGGCGAAGGCGGUUCUCUGGGCAUGUCCUGACGCUGAGGAGCGAAAGUGUGGGGAGCGAACAGG
This 253-nucleotide ribosomal RNA is filed under the name uncultured bacterium. RNAcentral's name for it is "partial 16S ribosomal RNA". It matches the Rfam family "Bacterial small subunit ribosomal RNA", at positions 524 to 776 of the family's 1533-position model. The record is from RNAcentral.